Molecule: ribosomal RNA, 253 nt
Filed under: uncultured bacterium
Lineage: Bacteria
Description: partial 16S ribosomal RNA
Rfam family: Bacterial small subunit ribosomal RNA
Source: RNAcentral
UACGUAGGGUGCGAGCGUUAAUCGGAAUUACUGGGCGUAAAGCGUGCGCAGGCGGUUUUGUAAGCCAGAUGUGAAAUCCCCGGGCUUAACCUGGGAAUGGCAUUUGGGACUGCAAGGCUGGAGUGUGGCAGAGGAGACUGGAAUUCCUGGUGUAGCAGUGAAAUGCGUAGAUAUGUGGAGGAACACCGAUGGCGAAGGCAGCCCCCUGGGUUAACACUGACGCUCAUGCACGAAAGCGUGGGGAGCAAACAGG